This 1005-nucleotide long non-coding RNA is filed under the name Homo sapiens (human). RNAcentral describes it as "long intergenic non-protein coding RNA 1227". Lineage: Eukaryota; Metazoa; Chordata; Mammalia; Primates; Hominidae. The record is from RNAcentral.
GAGCCAUCAUGGUAGGGUGUCCAGGGUGAGGGGAGGGUGGUGUGAAUCCCCAGUAAUGCAGGUCCUUUCCAGGCCAGGCCCCUGGUCCCCAGGAGUGCGGGGAUGCCUGAGGUCUACUGCUGCCUUAUCCAGAGCUGCCAUCCCCGGCGAUGACUCAGAGUUCCUGUGGCCCCAGCAUCAUCCCUCCAUCCCUGGCUGUGAGGCAGGAGCAGAGUUGCAGACCUGAGAGGCCUUGAAUUUGUUUGAUAUAGGACUUUGCCACCAGACAAAGUGCUUUGCCUGUGAGGUCUGGCUUGGCCUGGCCUCUGAGAAAGAACAAACACAGACCUCACUGGAAGGAACCUGGAGAACGGGAGAGGAGAGGCUGCUGCUGUCUGCCCUCCCAGCAGCAGAUAUAAAGACAAUGGGCUUCUAAGUCCCCUAGAGUCCCAGCUGUGUAAUUUAAGGCAAAUAUAAUUUCUGACCUACGUAAUGAUGUAUGCACAAGAAGCCUCUCUUGAAUGUAUUAAUUCAGUAAACAGUUAUGGAGUCCUUACAAUGUGCUAGUGGGACUUUGAAGAUGAAUCCAAAUUUGGAUCCUGGCCUGGAAAGGCUCAAAGCCCAAUAUGGGAGGUAAGAAAUGUAGAAUCCAUAUAACGAUGGGGUCUCCCCGCCCCUUAAGAUCUAGUUAUGAGUAGCUGCAAUUCCUGUGAAUUCCAAGGUAGUUUCACCACCUCAAGUUCACCUUUAGAUCUGACUUCUGGCUUCUUUUAGGAAGUUCCCAUCUCUAAAUCUCAUCUCUGUUCCUUUAUUUCUGCCAGCCUGGAUACAAAUGUGAAACUUAUCUUCUUUUAUUAACCAAUCAAUCACCUCCUGCCAAAACAACAUCAGCAAAAACAACAGAAAAAAACAAAAACAAAAACAAAAACAAAUCUGUGUACACAAGACCUUUGUUUCCACAGCAGACUUGGCUAAAGGUUUGGGCAUGCAUAUGCAUACCCCCAAAAUUAAAAAUGGAAAAUUGAA